Molecule: ribosomal RNA, 470 nt
Filed under: uncultured bacterium
Lineage: Bacteria
Description: bacterial SSU rRNA
Rfam family: Bacterial small subunit ribosomal RNA
Source: RNAcentral
UUAUGGCUCAGAACGAACGCUGGCGGCAGGUCUUAGGCAUGCAAGUCGAACGGAUGACAGAGAGCUUGCUCUCUGAAGUCAGUGGCGCACGAGUGAGUAACGCGUGGGAAACUGCCCUUCACUGGGGAAUAACGUUUGGAAACGAACGCUAAUACCGCAUACGCCCGCAAGGGGAAAGAUUUAUCGGUGAUGGAUGUGCCCGCGUUGGAUUAGCUAGUUGGUGGGGUAAUGGCCUACCAAGGCGAUGAUCCAUAGCUGGUCUGAGAGGACGAUCAGCCACGCUGGAACUGAGACACGGUCCAGACUCCUACGGGAGGCAGCAGCUAAGAAUAUUGGGCAAUGGAGGAAACUCUGACCCAAGCCAUGCCGCGUGAAUGAAGAAGGCCUUCGGGUUGUAAAGUUCUUUUAGUCAUGAAGAUGAUGACAGUAGUGACAGAAAAAGCACCGGCUAACUUCGUGCCAGCCGCGGC